CGUAUACUGAAGGCUAUAUGAGUGAAAUAAUAGAAGAUCUCGAAGAGUCCUAAUUUAAAAAUUAUUGAAUUGGUGGCACAAAAUGUUUCAAGUCCUUUUCCCUACUUCCUUAAAUAAACCCACAUGAUGUAUCUGUGUGUUUACAUGGGCUGAGUACUGUGGAUGUGUCCUUCCUGCAACCACCUAAAGCCAGCUUUUGCUCAGAAGGCU
RNAcentral lists this long non-coding RNA (210 nucleotides) under Mustela putorius furo (domestic ferret). RNAcentral describes it as "lncRNA (ENSMPUG00000024649.1)". The record is from RNAcentral. Lineage: Eukaryota; Metazoa; Chordata; Mammalia; Carnivora; Mustelidae.